RNAcentral lists this ribosomal RNA (495 nucleotides) under uncultured bacterium. RNAcentral's name for it is "partial 16S ribosomal RNA". It matches the Rfam family "Bacterial small subunit ribosomal RNA", at positions 28 to 507 of the family's 1533-position model. The record is from RNAcentral.
GACGAACGCUGGCGGCGUGCCUAAUACAUGCAAGUAGAACGCUGAAGGAGGAGCUUGCUUCUCUGGAUGAGUUGCGAACGGGUGAGUAACGCGUAGGUAACCUGCCUGGUAGCGGGGGAUAACUAUUGGAAACGAUAGCUAAUACCGCAUAAUAGUAGAUGUUGCAUGACAUUUGCUUAAAAGGUGCAAUUGCAUCACUACCAGAUGGACCUGCGUUGUAUUAGCUAGUUGGUGAGGUAACGGCUCACCAAGGCAACGAUACAUAGCCGACCUGAGAGGGUGAUCGGCCACACUGGGACUGAGACACGGCCCAGACUCCUACGGGAGGCAGCAGUAGGGAAUCUUCGGCAAUGGACGGAAGUCUGACCGAGCAACGCCGCGUGAGUGAAGAAGGUUUUCGGAUCGUAAAGCUCUGUUGUAAGAGAAGAACGAGUGUGAGAGUGGAAAGUUCACACUGUGACGGUAGCUUACCAGAAAGGGACGGCUAACUACGUG